Molecule: long non-coding RNA, 1465 nt
Filed under: Anas platyrhynchos platyrhynchos (common mallard)
Lineage: Eukaryota; Metazoa; Chordata; Aves; Anseriformes; Anatidae
Description: lncRNA (ENSAPLG00000026746.1)
Source: RNAcentral
CUCUGAAUAAAAUACAAAUAUCAAAGCCAUGUGUCUGCUUGUGGGUGCCACAUUCUUUAGGAUCACAGUGGCCGUCUUUAUGCACGAAUGUCGCAGAAACUGCUCGGUUUCAUCCCGCGUGAAUGAUGUGGCAAAAUUGUGAAAUAUGGGGUGGAAAAGCGCCCUCAAAACAGUCAAAGAAACCGCCAGAGCGCUGGAAAGCAGCUAUAGGGAAGCCAGUGCUGUCACUUUAAAAUGGCGAUGGGCCCCGGCGCCUUUGAAAUCAUUUAUCACAGAAGCCGUAACAUCUGCCACCAUCUUGGAUUCAUUCGAGAAUCUUUCUAGGAGGCGCUUUAGAGGGACAGCGUGAAGACAGCGCUUGUCUGUUUACAUCGCCUUUGGUUCAGCCGCCUUUUAUCACCAUCACUGACACGUUGCAAACAAGCCUGGGGAAAAGACAAGCAAGCGCUCAGGAAUGAACAGCUCCAGACCGGCUGGGGAUGGGCCGGACCCAGGGUUCUGGCACUAUCUCCUCAACAGACAGGAAGAAAAGCCAGCUGCUGAUAUGAGGAUGAUUUAGAAGCUAAGGUAGUGUAUGUAGAUCUUGGUCCACUCCCCUGAAGCAUGGGGGAGCAUAAGAGGUUUUUUGUUUGUUUGCCUGUUUGUUGUUUGUUUUGUUUGUUUGUUUGUUUUAUUGGGAAAAAGAGAAAAUUGGCUGGGGACCUCUGAAUUCAGUUCCUCUUUGUAAAUCUGAACCUGCAUUUCCAGAUGUCGCAAAUUCUCCAUCUGAACGCACAAGUCACAGCAGUUCCCUCACCAACCAGAGCGUUCAGAUGCUUUGAUGGUUACAUAUGCACUAUCACACAGCACGCAUAUGUACAUUGUGUCCACCAUCACCUUCCCCAAAUUCAAGUGAGUAAGGGGCAGUAGGUGUGUACUCCGGGAUGCUUAGCAGAUACCUGCCCCACAUACCUUGUACACUGUAGUUCUCAUGCUGGAGAAAAUCAGGUAAACACAUCAGCGAGGAGCUGCAGCAUGUUUUAACCACUGAUUUUCAGGCUGAGAUGAUUUCUGAGUGAUGGGGGGACUGGGACUUUGUAAUGUGUCAUGGUGAGCAAGUAUGUGCAGCUUACAUUAAUGAAAACCAGAAAUAGAUGAUCUCAGAUUUCAAUGACUCUGUGCUUUUAAACAUGACAUCUUUAUUUCAAAACACAAUGUGUACAACGCAGUUUUUGUUUCCUGAAGGUGCCUGGAAAAAUGUGAAUUCAGAGCUAAGCAAAGAAAAAAGACCCCUCAUACAUCUGCAGUAAAAUGAAGACGCAAUGAAGUUUUGAAGAAGUUAUGCUACAAGUUUCUGCACAGAACACUUAUUUAUAUACCAACAGAUAUGUUGGUCCACUAAUGAUGAAAUAUAUUCACAAUUCUGGCAGUGUUUUGAUUAAACUGAAAGAAGGAAAUAAAUUAGAGUACUCUAUUACUAAUGACA